ACGCAAUUGUUGUGCUAAUCAUUUUGCCCUUUUAAAAUUACAAUAUUAUUAAUUAAACAAGUCUAAUUAACCAUCAUUUUGUAAUUAAUAGCUUUGUCUAUUCGUCGUCUAUCAAAUGAGUGAUAAAUCAUUGCGAAAUGUUGUCAUUUUCAUACAAAAAUCUCAUAUUUUAUAUGACGCUCAAAAGCCGGCUGAGAGUCAUGGCGUUACGCAACCCAAAAUGGCCGACAGUUGGAUAUUACAAGGCUGAUCAUGACUGACCAUCAAGUCAAUUUUAGUGUCGACAGCAUAGGCUUAUGAUAUUCAUCAAACUGCUUUUAAAAUCGUGAUGAAAAAAAAGUUUAUCCAUUGAUUUGUCAUUAGAGUGAUAAUACAAAUGAAUACAUGUUGAAAUUCAUUGUAAAUUUACUCAUGACAAAGAAGUUGAACAUAUUUUAAAUCGACCCGACGAAAAGAUGAGCUUGCCCAAGCUUGCCAAGAAUGUUAUUGUGACAAUUGGAGCAUCUGAUUUAACAAGUAACAAGGGAAUUGUUGAGAAAAAGAUUAGCUGUUUCAUAGAGUUUAUUAGAAAAAGCAAGAAGUGAUAGACAUGCUGGUAAAAGGUACGUUGGUUUUGGUAUUAUCUUCUCCAAAUGGUUUGGAUGUUGAUCAAUUUAUUCCAAACCAUUAAGCAAAUUUAAUAUGGAACCAAUCAAAGCCAUAAUUAAAUUACAAAAAAAGAAACAGAUUGAUAAUGAUGACAAUGUUUUCUCAUUGUUACAUUUAAUUUAAAAAAAUUAAAUUAAUGGAUAAUUAAUUAUAAAUUGAAACUUGAUUAUCUUGCGUUAUUUUUAAAACAUCAUAGCCGAAUGUUGAACAAUGUUUCACAUCAGGUAAAUAAUAUGGAUGUUAAAUUAACUCGUCAGCUUUAAAAAAAAUAUAAAAAUUCGUAGUUAAAUAAAUUUAUAACUAUAACCUCGCGAAAGAAUAUAAAAUGAAAAACAUUACAACGAAGAUAGAAGAAUCAAAAGUGUUUUAAAAGAAAAUUGAUGCUGAAAAAUUAUAAAGACCACUUGAGUCACCAUCAAGAUAUCAAGAGCCACAAGAUGUUUGUUGGAAAUCCAAAAAAAAUAUCAGAUGAACCAGUUAUUUUUCAAAGACGAAGAUGAUGUUGAUGCAAGGAACAAAUUACAUUAUAAACGUCCACAAGAAUUUUUGUAAAUUAUGAUGUGACGAGGCCAACUUCACCAAGAAAAAUGUUUCCAGCCAAGCCAAGACAGCAUGCAACUGUUACGAAGACAACACCAGUACCAGUUGAUGAUGAUGUGGGACAAUGUGGGAUAUCUUGUUGAUGUUUAUCAUCAACACAAUUCAUCAAUGGAUCCUGUGAAGCACAUACGUCCAACUACGUGACCUAAUUAAAAUAAAUAAAAUAUAACAUUGAUUGCAUUAAACUUUGAGCU
Molecule: long non-coding RNA, 1442 nt
Organism: Aphidius gifuensis
Lineage: Eukaryota; Metazoa; Arthropoda; Insecta; Hymenoptera; Braconidae
Exons: 3
Source: RefSeq, a predicted model, not a curated record